GGCUGGAGAGAUGGCUCAGCGGUUAAGAGCAUUAAUUGCUCUUCAGAAGGUCCUGAGUUCAAAUCCCAGCAGCCA
This 75-nucleotide transfer RNA is filed under the name Mus musculus (house mouse). RNAcentral describes it as "tRNA-Ser". Lineage: Eukaryota; Metazoa; Chordata; Mammalia; Rodentia; Muridae. The record is from RNAcentral.